GUGUCAAAUGAAUUUUUUUCCUUUAGACCAACAAUACAAUUCUUACUCUAGAAUAUACCGUUAUACUCUAUCUCGAAUAAAUGCAAUACUUACUCUAGGCAGCCUAUACAUUACCCUGCUCGAUCAGUCAUGACUCAAAAUUAGUUCCAGGUACAUGUAAUUAACGCAGCUAUUAAUCAUGUUUGUCAUUAGUAAAUAAAGACAACAUCAACCACAAUGCUUAAUUACAAUAAGUAAAUAGCACUUUUUUUUAGAAAAUCAAAAAUCAAGCUAUUAAAUAGGAGUAAUAAUUCAUCGCAAUAUCUAGACUAAUAUAAAACGUAAGAGUUGUUUAGUGCAAUUAACGCUGUAAUUGCAAUAAGCGCCGAUUAACCCUGCAUCGCCAAAUCGCCAAAAAGAAAAGAAAAGAAACCGUCGCCCAGACCGCCGGCGCCUCCUCCUCCUCCUUCCGCCGCCGCGCCUCCUCCUCCCCCAUCGUCCAGGUCGGCGGCGCGCCGAGGCGAAGGGUCGAGGACGGCCUCCAGAUCGGAAGGGGACCCGGCGGCGGUUUGGAGCAGAGGUUGGGCGGAGGCAGCGCAGAGACGGUGGCGGUCGGCGGUGGAGAGGCGCAGGGCGACGGGCCGGCCAGCGGCGUGAAGGCGUGCUCCAGGCAGAGGGGGCGGUGAGACCGGCGGGACGAGUACCCCGUGCACCGGCGUGGACGGGGUCGGCGCAGGGCAACGGGCCGGCGGCGUCGACGGAGUGGAGAUGACAGAGGGCGGCGUCGAUGGGGAGCGCCAGGCCGGCGGGAGGCCGGGCGGUUGAGUCGGUGGCCAGCGGCGGGCGCAGGUCGACAAGUGGCGAGGUGGUGCCGAUGACCGAGUGGAUCUGGAGGCGGACGAAGCGGCGGUGAUGUGCUCUAGGCGGCAAUCCGGGCGGAGAGGCCGGUUGCGUCGGUAGAGAUGGCUCGACGACGAGGACCAUGUCCGCGACGACCGGUGGAGAUGCUGCUGAUGCUUGACUUGAACAAGGACCGAGAGGCCGAGAUCGAUCCCUCUCGACGACGACGACGCAGACGAAGAACCAGCCGCUUAGGAGAUCGAAACCUCCAUGGCGAGGGUGAAGACAACGAAAAAAAGGACGAACUUUGGAUCAACAAAUUGUCACUUUCAAGAAAUUGGGCUUUGCUGUCAGUUAAGUAAGAGACUGAAUCCUUAACUCAGUUAAGGAAAUUCAGUCUGUACUCUAUCCUUCCUCUAAACCAGGAUGUUUUUUUAGGGUAGGCUAGGUAAGGUUACUGUUGUUUGAAAGGCUAAUGGCGAUACUGAUCGAUGUUAGUCCUGGAUGAUGGUUGAAGUCUGAGCAUGUAGUGGUUCCCCGUUUCAGGGUUUUGUGGUGUUGAUCUUAGAGGGAUGCCAACAGUAUAAGGCAGUCACAAUGGUUCAUGUUAUUGGCACACCAAUGCAUGCAUGCCCAGUUGGUGGCUUGGAGAUGGAAUGAAUAUGACGCGUGUUUACCUGGUGCUCCUGUAACCUAAAAUCCACAGUUCCUGGCUCAUUUGCGGCUGUUAUUGAGUGAUAUAUAAACAUUUUCUUGGAAGACCUUCUAAUUUUGGUGGCUUUCAAAAAUUUUACAUUAUGCUGCUGCGAAAAUUUUGUAUGCGAAGAAUAGCAAAAAUUUUCAUUUGCUAUUUCAUUUAUCGCCUGCAUGUGUCAUGAUGUAAUUUGAUGUCAGUGCAGAUAGUUGACAAUUGAUUGGCAUGGAGGUGGAGAGGAAGAUAAAUACAAUGGUUGCCCACAAUACUUCUUUCUAAUGUUCGUGACUGAAACGUUGGUAGAACCCUGCACAAAUAGGUGGUGGCAUCUUAAUAGAAUGAAAAAUGAUGGGAACUCCACAACAGAUUUGUCAACACAAUCAGGUUUUUUCGUUUCUGCCAACGCACUAAGGUGCAGCCGGGAAGGAGCAUCCGAUGCAGUGGGGGAACGAGGUGACGAUCCUGGUGGUCAGCGACGACAAUCGAUGCCAUUAUUAUUGCCUGCUACUAAGACAAAAAUUGGUGACCUGCUGAUUGAUGUUUCUAACUUUCCCUCAAUCAGGUAUCAGCUUCAUUCAUUCAUGGAUAAAAAAUCCAAUAGAUUGUUCUCCAGAGUACAAAAAUUUACAGAAAAAUGCCAUAGAUCACUACGUACUUAUGCUAAACGAUGUAUUUUCAGACUGGUUAGAGACCUGGAUCUGUUUAUUUCCUUCAUUUCAGGCUUCUUGCUGGUUCAGAGCCAUGUAAAAGAUCGAGUUGCUUGAUAAAAUGUUCCACUGCUUGAUUUUUUAUUAUUUUCAGCUUGGCCAUAUUGUUUUCUAAGCUUUGCGAGUAGCUCAAAUGAAGGCCAUGGUGAUCUGCUUGAGCAACAUGGCAAUAGUGGCUGGUACAAGAUAGAAAAGAUGAUGGUGAAAAUUGGUACAAAAGCUACAUGCCUACAUGUUCGACGAAAUACUUCGGUAUCCCCGCUGUCCUAACAAGAAGAAAUUUUGAGCAGCCAUUAUGGUAAAUAUGGUCUGUACUCAAUUUUUUGUGCACUGCUGCAGCCACAAGAUAGAUGCACAUAGAUAAGUUGCUCAAUGAAAUGUACCAUUGGCCCUGUAAAAAAUUGAAUGGUUAGAAUUCUA
Non-coding RNA from Oryza sativa Japonica Group (Japanese rice), 2640 nucleotides. Lineage: Eukaryota; Viridiplantae; Streptophyta; Magnoliopsida; Poales; Poaceae. The record is from RefSeq and is a predicted model, not a curated record.